GACGAACGCUGGCGGCGUGCUUAACACAUGCAAGUCGAACGGUAAGGCCCUUCGGGGUACACGAGUGGCGAACGGGUGAGUAACACGUGGGUGAUCUGCCCUGCACUUCGGGAUAAGACUGGGAAACUGGGUCUAAUACCGGAUAGGACUCCGGACUGCAUGGUCUGGGGUGGAAAGCUUUUGCGGUGUGGGAUGGGCCCGCGGCCUAUCAGCUUGUUGGUGGGGUGAUGGCCUACCAAGGCGACGACGGGUAGCCGGCCUGAGAGGGUGACCGGCCACACUGGGACUGAGAUACGGCCCAGACUCCUACGGGAGGCAGCAGUGGGGAAUAUUGCACAAUGGGCGCAAGCCUGAUGCAGCGACGCCGCGUGAGGGAUGACGGCCUUCGGGUUGUGAACCUCUUUCAGCAUCGACGAAGCGAAAGUGACGGUAGGUGCAGAAGAAGGACCGGCCAACUACGUGCCAGCCGCCGCGGUAA
RNAcentral lists this ribosomal RNA (478 nucleotides) under uncultured bacterium. RNAcentral's name for it is "partial 16S ribosomal RNA". It matches the Rfam family "Bacterial small subunit ribosomal RNA", at positions 28 to 523 of the family's 1533-position model. The record is from RNAcentral.